This 216-nucleotide long non-coding RNA is filed under the name Sorghum bicolor (sorghum). RNAcentral describes it as "long non-coding RNA (SBIC_LNC012920)". Lineage: Eukaryota; Viridiplantae; Streptophyta; Magnoliopsida; Poales; Poaceae. The record is from RNAcentral.
AGGAUCACGACACAAGACCACGCUCAUACGUAGUAGAGCUCCACACUUCAUACCACGCUUGUAUUCGCCCCUGUACAAGCACUUAGGUGCAAGAUAAUACAAACUCUCUCCCCCCGCUGGACGUAGGGCCUUCUCUUGCCCGAACCAGGAUAAAUCUCUGUGUCUUCUUGCAUCACCAUCCGGGAAAGGGAGCACGCAUACAAAUUUACUCGUUGG